Molecule: ribosomal RNA, 585 nt
Filed under: uncultured bacterium
Lineage: Bacteria
Description: bacterial SSU rRNA
Rfam family: Bacterial small subunit ribosomal RNA
Source: RNAcentral
CUACGGGAGGCAGCAGUAGGGAAUCUUCCGCAAUGGGCGAAAGCCUGACGGAGCAACGCCGCGUGAAUGAUGAAGGUCUUCGGAUCGUAAAACUCUGUUAUUAGGGAAGAACAAAUGUGUAAGUAACUAUGCACGUCUUGACGGUACCUAAUCAGAAAGCCACGGCUAACUACGUGCCAGCAGCCGCGGUAAUACGUAGGUGGCAAGCGUUAUCCGGAAUUAUUGGGCGUAAAGCGCGCGUAGGCGGUUUUUUAAGUCUGAUGUGAAAGCCCACGGCUCAACCGUGGAGGGUCAUUGGAAACUGGAAAACUUGAGUGCAGAAGAGGAAAGUGGAAUUCCAUGUGUAGCGGUGAAAUGCGCAGAGAUAUGGAGGAACACCAGUGGCGAAGGCGACUUUCUGGUCUGUAACUGACGCUGAUGUGCGAAAGCGUGGGGAUCAAACAGGAUUAGAUACCCUGGUAGUCCACGCCGUAAACGAUGAGUGCUAAGUGUUAGGGGGUUUCCGCCCCUUAGUGCUGCAGCUAACGCAUUAAGCACUCCGCCUGGGGAGUACGACCGCAAGGUUGAAACUCAAAGGAAUUGACG